This 253-nucleotide ribosomal RNA is filed under the name uncultured bacterium. RNAcentral's name for it is "partial 16S ribosomal RNA". It matches the Rfam family "Bacterial small subunit ribosomal RNA", at positions 524 to 776 of the family's 1533-position model. The record is from RNAcentral.
GACGAACCGUGCGAACGUUGUUCGGAAUCACUGGGCUUAAAGGGCGCGUAGGCGGGCAGUCAAGUCAGGGGUGAAAUCCCGCGGCUCAACCGCGGAAGUGCCUUUGAUACUGGCUGUCUGGAGGGAGGUAGGGGCGUGCGGAACUUCCGGUGGAGCGGUGAAAUGCGUAGAUAUCGGAAGGAACGCCGGUGGCGAAAGCGGCGCGCUGGACCUCUUCUGACGCUGAGGCGCGAAAGCCAGGGGAGCAAACGGG